RNAcentral lists this ribosomal RNA (305 nucleotides) under uncultured bacterium. Its description in RNAcentral is "bacterial SSU rRNA". It matches the Rfam family "Bacterial small subunit ribosomal RNA", at positions 334 to 631 of the family's 1533-position model. The record is from RNAcentral.
CAAUCCUACGGGGCGCAGCAGUAGGGAAUUUUCGUCAAUGGGCGCAAGCCUGAACGAGCGAUGCCGCGUGAGUGAAGAAGGCCUUCGGGUCGUAAAGCUCUGUUGCGGGGGAAAAAAGGCAGCAUCAGGAAAUGGGUGCUGACUGAUGGUGCCCCGCCAGAAAGUCACGGCUAACUACGUGCCAGCAGCCGCGGUAAUACGUAGGUGGCGAGCGUUAUCCGGAAUGAUUGGGCGUACAGGGUGAGCAGGCGGUGCUGCCAGUCUGGAGUGAAACGCAUAGGCUCAACUCAUGCAUGGCUUUGGAA